AUUGAACGCUGGCGGCAGGCCUAACACAUGCAAGUCGAACGGUAACAGGGAACAGCUUGCUGAUUCGCUGACGAGUGGCGGACGGGUGAGUAAUGUCUGGGAAACUGCCUGAUGGAGGGGGAUAACUACUGGAAACGGUAGCUAAUACCGCAUAACGUCGCAAGACCAAAGAGGGGGACCUUCGGGCCUCUUGCCAUCGGAUGUGCCCAGAUGGGAUUAGCUAGUAGGUGGGGUAACGGCUCACCCAGGCGACGAUCCCUAGCUGGUCUGAGAGGAUGAGCAGCCACACUGGAACUGAGACACGGUCCAGACUCCUACGGGAGGCAGCAGUGGGGAAUAUUGCACAAUGGGCGCAAGCCUGAUGCAGCCAUGCCGCGUGUAUGAAGAAGGCCUUCGGGUUGUAAAGUACUUUCAGCGGGGAGGAAGAGAGUCAAGUUAAUACCUUUGCUCAUUGACGUUACCCGCAGAAGAAGCACCGGCUAACUCCGUG
Molecule: ribosomal RNA, 490 nt
Filed under: uncultured bacterium
Lineage: Bacteria
Description: partial 16S ribosomal RNA
Rfam family: Bacterial small subunit ribosomal RNA
Source: RNAcentral